CAGUCGCCGCGGUAAUACGAAGGGUGCAUGCGUUACUCGGAAUUACUGGGCGUAAAGCGUGCGUAGGUGGUGGUUUAAGUCCGUUGUGAAAGCCCUGGGCUCAACCUGGGAAUUGCAGUGGAUACUGGGUCACUAGAGUGUGGUAGAGGAUAGUGGAAUUUCCGGUGUAGCAGUGAAAUGCGUAGAGAUCGGAAGGAACAUCUGUGGCGAAGGCGACUAUCUGGGCCAACACUGACACUGAGGCACGAAAGCGUGGGGAGCAAACAGGAUUAGAUACCCCUGUAGUCCCUGUCUCUUAUAC
This 301-nucleotide ribosomal RNA is filed under the name uncultured bacterium. RNAcentral's name for it is "partial 16S ribosomal RNA". It matches the Rfam family "Bacterial small subunit ribosomal RNA", at positions 509 to 807 of the family's 1533-position model. The record is from RNAcentral.